GUGCUCGCUUCGGCAGCACAUAUACUAAAAUUGGAACGAUACAGAGAAGAUUAGCAUGGCCCCUGCGCAACUACAGUCAUGCCUUGUUUGGCCCUAAAUAAAUAUGUUU
Molecule: small nuclear RNA, 109 nt
Organism: Sphaerodactylus townsendi
Lineage: Eukaryota; Metazoa; Chordata; Lepidosauria; Squamata; Sphaerodactylidae
Source: RefSeq, a predicted model, not a curated record